UUUUAGUUUGUAUAAAAUUUAUUAACUCAAUCAAUUAAUUGCUACAUGUUAACCGUUCUAACAAAAAUAGGUUCUGUCGUACAUUAGAUAAAUUCUAACUUGUGUUAACCAUUUUCUUCUACUAAUUUUGUUUUUUAUCUCUAUUAAUAUUUUAUUCGUCCUGGUAUUAAAAACUGUUGUCAUAUUUUUUAAUUAAUUUUCUAUUAACUCCAAAUGUAAUUAGUGUAUGCAGCCUUUUUAGAGUUGAAUUCUUUUUUUUUUUUUUUUAAAUUUUAGCAAUAAAAUUUAAUAAUAAAAACCUUGUGUUCUACAUCUAUGCUUUGCUGAUAACCGCAUAGCAUAUAUGCCAUUUAAAUGUAAGCUAAUAUCAUUACUUAAAUUUUAGUAAGAGGCAAGGACUAAAUAGAAGGUUGCAGGAGCAUGUUUAUUUUAAUCCAGUGUUUUUUAAUAAAUUACCAGGUUUUAAUAAAAAUUAAAAAAAUAGAUUUAUUAUUUUUGUAACACUUUUUAAUUUAUUUUUGUAAGUUAAUAGUUUAAAGUAUAAAGUCAUACUUCAAAGUUUUAGUCGAACUUCACUCAAGAUCACUUCUUGCAUUCCACCCUAAGAAGUUGACUUAAUUUUAGCAAACAAAAAUUAUCAUAGAGAGUCAUAGCUAAUCGAGUUAAAAAUUUUCUAUUCUGAUGAGAAAAUAUGUUUCCUGAUUUUUCAAUCAUGCUAAUUUUUUUAAAUCUAAUGACAUAAAUACAAAAAUUCAAAACAAAACAGUUUAAAAGAAGGCUUGUUGUAAAAGUCUCUUUUGCAACAAAAAGUUUCAAAAGAGACUUUUAGUUAAUAAAAUUUUUUUCUAAUAUUACACAUAAUCUUGCAUACAACUUUAUAUAAGUUUAACUUAUUACGUUGGACUAAGAAUACAGAAGCUGUAGGCCCUAUAAAAAUGAAACAAGAACAAAUUAAACAACAACUAUUCAGAGCAACUUUAAAGUUCCUCAAGUUUUAAAAAUUUCUUUUUUUGUUAUAAAGUUUAUAAAAAAAAUACACUCAUAACUUUAUAUUUUUCAUUAGGGUUUAAGUGUGAUCAUGUCUAAUUUAAAAGUAAAUUAUACUGCAAGGAUAUUUUGAUAACCAUUUAAAUUUCUAUUUUCUUUUUGUUUGAGUAGUAGUUCAUGAAAUGUUUGCAUAGCUAAUAAAGCUAUGAAUUAGCCUGUAAUUGAUUAAUUUAAGACUUUAUGUAUUAACAUCAGUGUAUAUUUAAUACAUCAAUUUUAUGGUUUUCGUAAUUUUUGACUGGAUAUGUUUUAUAUGAGAAAAUUAGGCAAAUAAACUAGGUAUUAUAUGAAAGUUUGUUAAAUCAAACCAAUUGUUUUUUUUUUUAAAUUUAACUCAAUAUUCAUUUCCGCAUAUAUUUUCUUGAUAUCCUGAAUUCAGUUUUAAAGAUGCAUUACAGAAUUCAUUUAUAUAUGUUUAAAGCGGAAGUCAACCAGAAUCAAUCCUUGCGGGACUCUACAUAAGACAUUCAUUAUUCCAGAUUGGACAUCAUGCAAUUAUCGCUUUCUGUUGUUUGGAUAUAUACAAUGGAGGAAAUUUUGGUAAUUUGUGUUUUGUGUAAAAAAUCUACUGAUAAUGAUAAAUAUCAUUUUGGAUGUUAUAAAUUAUGGGAAAAUGAUCUGCUCAAGAUAUAUGCAAAACAUGCACUGACUCAAUAUAAGUGGUAUUUCUUAUCAAGUAAAAGUUGUUAUAGUUGAAAGAGCUUUUCAAAAAUUCACAAAGCAAUCAAUUUGUGAAAGUUCAUUAUCAGCAUUGAAAGUCAAUUUUUGUGGGUCAAGUAUACAGUUACAGACAUAUUAUAUAUAGUUUUGGUACGAAACCAAAAAGAACCUUAUGGACCAAGAUUUGAUGUAUUUACUGACAAAUCAACAAAACGAUGAUCUAUUGUUGGCUUUAGGCAAAUUCUCUGACAAUUUCAAGCAUAAUAAUUUUACAUUUAAAGUCUUGGUCCCUAAAGCAAUAUUGUGUCUGUUUGCUGAAUUGGAAGGAAUCUCAAGAUAUAAAGCUGAAGUAUUGUUAAGUUCUUACUCUUUACAAAGAACCAACAAGUUAGUGAAUAAAUUGUCUGAUGAAGACGAUGAUUUUUUUUUAGAUAAAAUGUGAUAACUCCAUUCCACAUUGAUGGUUUCACUUGGAAUGCAUUGGUUAUGCUAAAAAAACAAGUGCUUUAUUUACAUGAUCAAACAUUCUCUUGCUAAUAUAGCUCUAAAAAAAUACGCCAGAAUUGGUUGAAAUAAGGCCGUGUAUCAAUGCGCCCAAAAAGUUGUCACACUUUAUUUAUCUCCAAUUAUCUCCAAAACAUUUAUCAGGUAUUAAUCAACAUAUGUUGAAACUGAUAGUUGAACAAAAGGAGGAGAUCAAGGAGCUAAGCACGAAAAUAAAAACAUGCAAUGCAAUGCUGAAUGUAGUAUUGUCAAAAUUAGGAUUAUGCUCAAACAACACUAAGGUUCCAGAUGGUUUCGAAAUAUAAGGGAGUUAGGAAGAUGCUACAAAUUUAGAUGACAAACUUGAAUGUAGUGAUUUUAAAAGUGCUAUGACUGGUUUCCUUGGAAUAACUGGUGGAACUGAUGUGAAUGAUACAGUUAGAAAGGUGUUAAAAAGUUUAUUUACGCACGAACUAGCACUUAAAAUCAACUUGAUGGGGAAAAAUGGAAAAUACAGUUUUUGCUCAUUAGCCUUAAGCAAUGUUGUAAUGCAAGCAGUUCGCUGCUGACCGCAUGCUGAUCCAGAUAGUGAAGAUGAAAACAAUGACUUUAAAUAAUCUACUUCUCAUUUGUUUAAAAUAAUAAUAAAGAAUAAUAAUGUUAA
Hydra vulgaris (swiftwater hydra) is the source of this 2854-nucleotide non-coding RNA. The record is from RefSeq and is a predicted model, not a curated record. Lineage: Eukaryota; Metazoa; Cnidaria; Hydrozoa; Anthoathecata; Hydridae.